AUUGAACGCUGGCGGCAUGCCUUACACAUGCAAGUCGAACGGUAACAGGUCUUCGGAUGCUGACGAGUGGCGAACGGGUGAGUAAUACAUCGGAACGUGCCUAGUCGUGGGGGAUAACUACUCUAAAGAGUGGCUAAUACCGCAUUAGAUCUACGGAUGAAAGAAGGGGAUCGAAAGACCUUGUGCUACUAGAGCGGCCGAUUGCAGAUUAGGUAGUUGGUGGGAUAAAAGCUUACCAAGGCGACGAUCUGUAGCUGGUCUGAGAGGACGAUCAGCCACACUGGGACUGAGACACGGCCCAGACUCCUACGGGAGGCAGCAGUGGGGAAUUUGGACAAUGGGCGCAAGCCUGAUCCAGCAAUGCAGCGUGCAGGAUGAAGGCCUUCGGGUUGUAAACUGCUUUUGUACGGAACGAAAAGCCCCGGGUUAAUACCCUGGGGUCAUGACGGUACCGUAAGAAUAAGCACCGGCUAACUACGUGCCAGCCGCCGCCGUAA
Molecule: ribosomal RNA, 497 nt
Filed under: uncultured bacterium
Lineage: Bacteria
Description: partial 16S ribosomal RNA
Rfam family: Bacterial small subunit ribosomal RNA
Source: RNAcentral